AGGGGGGGGGGCAAGCGUUGUUCGGAAUUACUGGGCGUAAAGGCGCGUAGGGCGGCCCAGAAAGUCUCUUGUGAAAUCCCACGGCUCAACUGUGGAACUGCAGGGGAAACUACUGGGCUUGAGUCCGGGAGAGGGUAGCGGAAUUCCCAGUGUAGCGGUGAAAUGCGUAGAUAUUGGGAGGAACACCGGUGGCGAAGGCGGCUACCUGGACCGGUACUGACGCUGAGGCGCGAAAGCUAGGGGAGCAAACGGGAUUAGAUACCCCGGUAGUCCUAGCUGUAAACGUUGAGCACUUGGUGUAGCGGGUAUCGACCCCUGCUGUGCCGUAGCUAACGCAUUAAGUGCUCCGCCUGGGGAGUACGGUCGCAAAGGCUG
This 375-nucleotide ribosomal RNA is filed under the name uncultured organism. RNAcentral's name for it is "partial 16S ribosomal RNA". It matches the Rfam family "Bacterial small subunit ribosomal RNA", at positions 524 to 896 of the family's 1533-position model. The record is from RNAcentral.